CCUACGGGAGGCAGCAGUGGGGAAUAUUGCACAAUGGGGGAAACCCUGAUGCAGCGACGCCGCGUGAAGGAAGAAGUAUUUCGGUAUGUAAACUUCUAUCAGCAGGGAAGAAAAUGAAGGUACCUGACUAAGAAGCCCCGGCUAACUACGUGCCAGCAGCCGCGGUAAUACGUAGGGGGCAAGCGUUAUCCGGAUUUACUGGGUGUAAAGGGAGCGUAGGCGGGUUAGCAAGUCAGAAGUGAAAGCCCGGGGCUCAACUCCGGGACUGCUUUUGAAACUGUUGAACUAGAGUGCAGGAGAGGUAAGUGGAAUUCCUGGUGUAGCGGUGAAAUGCUUAGAUAUCAGGAGGAACAUCGGUGGCGGAAGCGCCUUACUGGGCCGCAAUUGACGUUGAGGAACGAAAGCCAGGGUAGCAAAUGGGAUUAGAUACCCCAGUAGUC
Molecule: ribosomal RNA, 440 nt
Filed under: uncultured bacterium
Lineage: Bacteria
Description: partial 16S ribosomal RNA
Rfam family: Bacterial small subunit ribosomal RNA
Source: RNAcentral